GCCGAAGUGGUGGAAUGGUAGACACAAGGGACUUAAAAUCCCUCGGAGUUCGCUCUGUACCGGUUCGAGUCCGGUCUUCGGUACCA
RNAcentral lists this transfer RNA (86 nucleotides) under bacterium. RNAcentral's name for it is "tRNA-Leu". It matches the Rfam family "tRNA". From Rfam's summary of the family: Transfer RNA (tRNA) molecules are approximately 80 nucleotides in length. Their secondary structure includes four short double-helical elements and three loops (D, anti-codon, and T loops). The record is from RNAcentral.